UGUCUACAUACGCUCCUACAAAAGAAGAAAAGGAGCGAUUCAUGUCUCGGGCGAUCGAGCUCAGCGCGGAAGGAGCAUUCAAGGGACAUGGUGGUCCAUAUGGAGCCGUGGUUGUCAAAAAUGGCAAGAUUGUUGGUACGAUGGCUAUUUCUUCUUUCGCAACCCAGCUUCCUGUCUUCAUGCAAACAGCAAAACUUUAACGUGGUUCUAAACGCCGACUUUACUGACAGUCUCAGACUUUCAAAGCAGUCUCUAUGGUGAAGGCUACAACCGAGUACUUGUUGAUUGUGAUCCAAGUGCACAUGGAGAAGUUGUGGCCAUACGAAAUGCAGGGAAAAACUUGGGAACAUUUGAACUGACAGGCUGUAGUUUGUACACAAACUU
RNAcentral lists this unclassified non-coding RNA (384 nucleotides) under Pocillopora damicornis (cauliflower coral). Its description in RNAcentral is "guanine deaminase-like, transcript variant X1". Lineage: Eukaryota; Metazoa; Cnidaria; Anthozoa; Scleractinia; Pocilloporidae. The record is from RNAcentral.